Molecule: long non-coding RNA, 1870 nt
Organism: Acanthopagrus latus (yellowfin seabream)
Lineage: Eukaryota; Metazoa; Chordata; Actinopteri; Spariformes; Sparidae
Exons: 3
Source: RefSeq, a predicted model, not a curated record
CGUGUAUGUACCCCGAACAUUGUCUACCGCUCUACAUGGCACAGAGAGUCUUCGUGCUGAGCUCGUCUGAAUGAAGGCCCUGACCCGGGCUUACACCCGUGGACUCUGCACAGAAGAUAAGAUUAGAUCAUGACCCCGGGUGCAGCCCAUGUACUUGCUCACGUUGUCGGACAGGUAGAUCAUGUCCCCCUCAGUGGACAGGACCAUCAGGAACCCCUCCAGGAUCCUCAGGUACAUGUCCGACUCCUCCGAGGCCUCGACCUCCUCCGCUUCCUUCUCCCCGUCGCACUCUGGCUGAUCCUCCCCGCCUUCCUUCACCGGAGCAUAUUUUACUGCGUGACCAGCCUCUGUUUUAGUCCCCGUCCUGCCUGAAACACAUAAAAAAAAGGAGGCGUCUCUGUCAGGUGUCAUUGUGCACGUCGAGACGAGAGGGGUGGCGACGGCGGCGGGAGCUUGCAGCACGGCGGGGAACCUCCACGCUUCAAUUUGCACCGUCGCAGGUAGCCGAGUUAAUCAGAGAGGCAAUUAGUGGUGCCAAAUGUCAGAAGGCAAGUGGCUGAGCGGUGAGUGUCUCCUCCUCCUUCUCUCCCCCCUCUGCAUGCAUCACCUCUACACAAACUGAGCACGAUGAUAGGUCAGCAUCACCCUCCCCUUCUUCCUCCCUCCCUCCCUCCCUCCCACCCACCACUCCAACCUCUCCUCUCACAAACUUAAAAGCAUUCCACGUAAAAAAAACAGAACAAAACAAAACAAAAAAAGCAGAUCUGCUGCAGCAGGAAACGGGAAGGCAAAGAUGACACACAGGAGUCUGGGAGUGAUGUAGACAGCUCAGUGUUUUAUUGGAAUCAGACCAGACAGGACUAGCCUGGCUGUUGCACUACAUUUUGGCACAGAGUAAGAUAGAUGUGACCAGGAACAGCCCUACCCCUGGGUGCACGAAGCUUCACUACACACCGACUCUACUGCACACAGAGCAAACCAGCUCGCCUUCAGAUCACUGUACAGUACACGCGACAACAGUCCUUCUCUGUGUGUGUGUGUGUGUGUGUGUGUGUGUGUGUGUGUGAUUGAGAGUGAGAAAGAAGAGAGAGGAGGGAGGAGUCUGUGUGUGUGUGUGUGCGUGUGUGUGUGUGUGUGUGUCUUUGAAAUAAGAGGUAAUUCAGCUGCUGGUUUUCCACAUUUCUUUUCACCCGGCUGUAACAGACCUAUGAUAGUAUAGUUAUAGUAUAAUACACAAAGGUUUCCUCCAGAUACACUUUACAAUAAUAAUAAUUAUUAUAAUAAAAAAGAAUGAAAGAAAGAAAGAAAGAGAGCAAUAAGAAAAAGAAAAAAAGCCAUUCUUGAAAAAAAAACAAGCAAACAAGUCAGAAAAGCAGAGAGUGAUUUUUGGCUGAGUGAGACGGCUGCUGGAGGCGGGGGAGGCGGAGGGGAAGGGGAAUUGGUGCUUUGGAGGAAAAGGGAGGGGAGGGGGGGUGAAGAUAAACACUGAUGGUAACUAUAGAAACAGAAAUGCUGAAGACAAAAAGUCACACACUCACGGGGAGAGGAGGGAGGAGGGGAAUAAAACCACGCAUUCACACGUACGAAAAAUGUACAUUCACGACAAAAUAACGCCCACGCGCCAGCACAUUCACGCCGGCAGGACAGACACGGACUCUGAGACUAGCAGAUGGAUGAAGUAGCUGGAAAAAUCGGGCUCUUUUUUUUUUUUUUCUUCUUCUUUUUUUAAAACUGCUACACAGGCCGCCUGUAACACUCUCCGCUCCGCAUAAUUAGUUUCGAUAGCCUGUAACUUGUAAAGCUCGACAUUCAGUUUGUGCACACGAGACGGGAACUGUCGCAUGAUGAGAGCAAAAAAAAAAAAAAAAAA